RNAcentral lists this ribosomal RNA (482 nucleotides) under uncultured bacterium. RNAcentral describes it as "partial 16S ribosomal RNA". It matches the Rfam family "Bacterial small subunit ribosomal RNA", at positions 30 to 507 of the family's 1533-position model. The record is from RNAcentral.
AUUGAACGCUGGCGGCAUGCUUUACACAUGCAAGUCGAACGGUAACAGGCCGCAAGGUGCUGACGAGUGGCGAACGGGUGAGUAAUGCAUCGGAACGUGCCCAGUCGUGGGGGAUAACUACUCGAAAGAGUAGCUAAUACCGCAUACGAUCUAUGGAUGAAAGCGGGGGACCGUAAGGCCUCGCGCGAUUGGAGCGGCCGAUGUCAGAUUAGGUAGUUGGUGGGGUAAAGGCUCACCAAGCCAACGAUCUGUAGCUGGUCUGAGAGGACAACCAGCCACACUGGGACUGAGACACGGCCCAGACUCCUACGGGAGGCAGCAGUGGGGAAUUUUGGACAAUGGGCGCAAGCCUGAUCCAGCAAUGCCGCGUGCAGGAAGAAGGCCUUCGGGUUGUAAACUGCUUUUGUACGGAACGAAACGGCUCUGGUUAGUACCCGGGGCUAAUGACGGUACCGUAAGAAUAAGCACCGGCUAACUACGUG